RNAcentral lists this ribosomal RNA (1418 nucleotides) under uncultured bacterium. RNAcentral's name for it is "16S ribosomal RNA". It matches the Rfam family "Bacterial small subunit ribosomal RNA". The record is from RNAcentral.
GCAAGUCGAGCGAUGCAAACUUCUCUUCUAGAAGUGGCAUUAGCGGCGGACGGGUGAGUAACACGUGGGUAACCUGCCUCAAAGUGGGGGAUAGCCUUCCGAAAGGAAGAUUAAUACCGCAUAAUAUAAUGAGAAUCGCAUGAUUUUCUUAUCAAAGAUUUAUUGCUUUGAGAUGGACCCGCGGCGCAUUAGCUAGUUGGUAAGGUAAUGGCUUACCAAGGCAUCGAUGCGUAGCCGACCUGAGAGGGUGAUCGGCCACAUUGGAACUGACACACGGCUCCAGACUCCUACGGGAGGCAUACAGUGGGGAAUAUUGCGCAAUGGGGGAAACCCUGACACAGCAACGCCGCGUGGGUGAUGAAGGUCUUCGGAUUGUAAAGCCCUGUUUUCUGGUACGAUAAUGACAGAACCAGAGGAGGAAGCCACGGCUAACUACGUGCCAGCCCCCGCGGUAAUACCUAGGUGGCCAGCGUUGCCCGGAUUUACUGGGCGUAAAGGGUGCGUAGGCGGUUGUUUAAGUGGGAUGUGAAAUCCCCGGGCUUAACCUGGGGGCUGCAUUCCAAACUGGAUAUCUAUAGUGCAGGAGAGGAAAGCGGAAUUCCUAGUGUGCCGGUGAAAUGCAUAGAGAUUAGGAAGAACACCAGUGGCGAAAGCGGCUUUCUGGACUGUAACUGACGCUGAGGCACGAAAGCGUGGGUAGCAAACAGGAUUAGAUACCCUGGUAGUCCACKCCGUAAACGAUGGAUACUAGGUGUAGGGGGUAUCAACUCCCCCUGUGCCGCAGUUAACACAAUAAGUAUCCCGCCUGGGGAGUACGGUCGCAAGAUUAAAACUCAAAGGAAUUGACGGGGGCCCGCACAAGCAGCGGAGCAUGUGGUUUAAUUCGAAGCAACGCGAAGAACCUUACCUGGACUUGACAUCCCUUGCAUAGCCUAGAGAUAGGUGAAGCCCUUCGGGGCAAGGAGACAGGUGGUGCAUGGUUGUCGUCAGCUCGUGUCGUAAGAUGUUAGGUUAAGUCCUGCAACGAGCGCAACCCUUGUUAUUAGUUGCUACCAUUAAGUUGAGCACUUUAAUGAGACUGCCUGGGUAACCAGGAGGAAGGUGGGGAUGACGUCAAAUCAUCAUGCCCCUUAUGUCCAGGGCUACACACGUGCUACAAUGGUAGGUACAAUAAGAAGCAAGACCGUGAGGUGGAGCAAAACUUAUAAAACCUAUCUCAGUUCGGAUUGUAGGCUGCAACUCGCCUACAUGAAGCUGGAGUUGCUAGUAAUCGCGAAUCAGCAUGUCGCGGUGAAUACGUUCCCGGGCCUUGUACACACCGCCCGUCACACCAUGAGAGCUGUGUAACACCCGAAGUCCCGUGAGGUAACCGUAAGGAGCCAGCGCGCCGAAGGUGGUAUUAGUCAUUGGGGGGAAGU